GAUGAACGCUGGCGGCGUGCCUAAUACAUGCAAGUCGAGCGAACAGACGAGGAGCUUGCUCCUCUGACGUUAGCGGCGGACGGGUGAGUAACACGUGGAUAACCUACCUAUAAGACUGGGAUAACUUCGGGAAACCGGAGCUAAUACCGGAUAAUAUAUUGAACCGCAUGGUUCAAUAGUGAAAGACGGUUUUGCUGUCACUUAUAGAUGGAUCCGCGCCGCAUUAGCUAGUUGGUAAGGUAACGGCUUACCAAGGCAACGAUGCGUAGCCGACCUGAGAGGUGAAUCGGCCAAACUGAACCGAGGACACGGCCCAGACUCCUACGGGGGGCGGCAGUGGGGAACCUUCCGCAAUGGGCGAAAGCCUAACGAGGCACCGCGGCGUGAGUGAUGAAGGUCUUCGGAUCGUAAAACUCUGUUAUUGGGGAAAAACAAAUGUGAAGGUAACUAUGCCCGUCUUGACGGUACCUAUUCAGAAAGCCACGGCUAACUACGU
RNAcentral lists this ribosomal RNA (496 nucleotides) under uncultured bacterium. Its description in RNAcentral is "partial 16S ribosomal RNA". It matches the Rfam family "Bacterial small subunit ribosomal RNA", at positions 28 to 506 of the family's 1533-position model. The record is from RNAcentral.